ACGGGAGGCAGCAGUAGGGAAUUUUCGGCAAUGGGGGAAACCCUGACCCAGCAACGCCGCGUGAAGGAAGAAGGUCUUCGGAUUGUAAACUUCUUUUAUCAGGGACGAAGAAAGUGACGGUACCUGAUGAAUAAGCCACGGCUAACUACGUGCCAGCAGCCGCGGUAAUACGUAGGUGGCAAGCGUUAUCCGGAUUUACUGGGUGUAAAGGGCGCGUAGGCGGGGAUGCAAGUCAGAUGUGAAAUCCAUGGGCUCAACCCAUGAACUGCAUUUGAAACUGUAUCUCUUGAGUGUCGGAGAGGUAGACGGAAUUCCUAGUGUAGCGGUGAAAUGCGUAGAUAUUAGGAGGAACACCAGUGGCGAAGGCGGUCUACUGGACGAUAACUGACGCUGAGGCGCGAAAGCGUGGGGAGCAAACAGGAUUAGAUACCCUGGUA
The sequence is a ribosomal RNA, 437 nucleotides long. It matches the Rfam family "Bacterial small subunit ribosomal RNA", at positions 341 to 792 of the family's 1533-position model.